RNAcentral lists this ribosomal RNA (456 nucleotides) under uncultured bacterium. RNAcentral describes it as "bacterial SSU rRNA". It matches the Rfam family "Bacterial small subunit ribosomal RNA", at positions 340 to 786 of the family's 1533-position model. The record is from RNAcentral.
UACGGAAGGCAGCAGUGGGGAAUAUUGCACAAUGGGCGAAAGCCUGAUGCAGCUAUGCCGCGUGUAUGAAGAAGGCCUUAGGGUUGUAAAGUACUUUCAUCGGGGAGGAAAAACAAAACUAAUAAUUUUAUUUCUUGACGUUACCCGAAAAAGAAGCACCGGCUAACUCCGUGCCAGCAGCCGCGGUAAUACGGAGGGUGCUAGCGUUAAUCAGAAUUACUGGGCGUAAAGAGCACGUAGGUGGUUUUUUUAAGUCAGAUGUGAAAUCCCUGGGCUUAACCUAGGAACUGCAUUUUGAAACUGAAAUACUAGAGUAUCGUAGAGGGAGGUAGAAUUUCUAGGUGUAGCGGUGAAAUGCGUAGAUAUCUGGAGGAAUACCUGUGGCGAAAGCGGCCUCCUAAACGAAUACUGACACUGAGGUGCGAAAGCGUGGGGAGCAAACAGGGAUUAGAUACC